This 301-nucleotide ribosomal RNA is filed under the name uncultured bacterium. RNAcentral's name for it is "partial 16S ribosomal RNA". It matches the Rfam family "Bacterial small subunit ribosomal RNA", at positions 509 to 807 of the family's 1533-position model. The record is from RNAcentral.
CAGUCGCCGCGGGAAUACGUAGGUGGCAAGCGUUGUCCGGAAUUAUUGGGCGUAAAGGGCUCGCAGGCGGUUUCUUAAGUCUGAUGUGAAAGCCCCCGGCUCAACCGGGGAGGGUCAUUGGAAACUGGGAAACUUGAGUGCAGAAGAGGAGAGUGGAAUUCCACGUGUAGCGGUGAAAUGCGUAGAGAUGUGGAGGAACACCAGUGGCGAAAGCACUCUGCUGGGCCGACACUGACACUGAGGAGCGAAAGCGUGGGGAGCGAACAGGAUUAGAUACCCCCGUAGUCCCUGUCUCUUAUAC